UGGGGAAUCUUGCGCAAUGGGCGAAAGCCUGACGCAGCGACGCCGCGUGGGGGAUGAAGGCCCUCGGGUUGUAAACCCCUUUCGGCAGGGACGAAGCGAAAGUGACGGUACCUGCAGAAGAAGCCCCGGCUAACUACGUGCCAGCAGCCGCGGUAAGACGUAGGGGGCGAGCGUUGUCCGGAUUUAUUGGGCGUAAAGCGCGCGCAGGCGGCCGGCCAAGUCGGAUGUGAAAACCAGGGGCUCAACCCCUGGCCUGCAUCCGAUACUGGUCGGCUCGAGGUAGGUAGGGGAGAUCGGAAUUCCUGGUGUAGCGGUGAAAUGCGCAGAUAUCAGGAGGAACACCGGUGGCGAAGGCGGAUCUCUGGGCCUUACCUGACGCUCAGGCGCGAAAGCUAGGGGAGCGAACAGG
Molecule: ribosomal RNA, 409 nt
Filed under: uncultured bacterium
Lineage: Bacteria
Description: bacterial SSU rRNA
Rfam family: Bacterial small subunit ribosomal RNA
Source: RNAcentral